This 820-nucleotide ribosomal RNA is filed under the name uncultured Geobacter sp. RNAcentral's name for it is "bacterial SSU rRNA". It matches the Rfam family "Bacterial small subunit ribosomal RNA", at positions 43 to 843 of the family's 1533-position model. Lineage: Bacteria; Pseudomonadati; Thermodesulfobacteriota; Desulfuromonadia; Geobacterales; Geobacteraceae. The record is from RNAcentral.
CAUGCGCUGCUACCAUGCAAGUCGAACGUGAUCCGCCCUUCGGGGUGGUGAAAGUGGCGCACGGGUGAGUAACGCGUGGAUAAUCUGCCCGAGGAUUUGGGAUAACAUCUCGAAAGGGGUGCUAAUACCGAAUAAGCCCACGGGGUCUACGGAUCUUGCGGGAAAAGGGGGGGACCUUCGGGCCUCCUGUCCUUGGAUGAGUCUGCGUACCAUUAGCUAGUUGGUGGGGUAAUGGCCUACCAAGGCGACGAUGGUUAGCUGGUCUGAGAGGAUGAUCAGCCACACUGGAACUGAGACACGGUCCAGACUCCUACGGGAGGCAGCAGUGGGGAAUUUUGCGCAAUGGGGGAAACCCUGACGCAGCAACGCCGCGUGGGUGAUGAAGGCCUUCGGGUCGUAAAGCUCUGUCUGGAGGGAAGAAAUGAUUGGGAGCUAAUACCUCUUGAUCUUGACGGUACCUCUGAAGGAAGCACCGGCUAACUCCGUGCCAGCAGCCGCGGUAAUACGGAGGGUGCAAGCGUUGUUCGGAAUUAUUGGGCGUAAAGCGCGUGUAGGCGGUCUUUUAAGUCUGAUGUGAAAGCCCCGGGCUCAACCUGGGAAGUGCAUUGGAAACUGGGAGGCUUGAGUACGGGAGAGGAGAGUGGAAUUCCUAGUGUAGGAGUGAAAUCCGUAGAUAUUAGGAGGAACACCGGUGGCGAAGGCGGCUCUCUGGACCGAUACUGACGCUGAGACGCGAAAGCGUGGGUAGCAAACAGGAUUAGAUACCCUGGUAGUCCACGCCGUAGACGAUGAGUACUAGUGUUGCGGUAUGACCCCUGCA